AUACGGAGGGUGCAAGCGUUAAUCGGAAUUACUGGGCGUAAAGCGCGCGUAGGCGGCUUGAUAAGUCGGAUGUGAAAUCCCCGGGCUUAACCUGGGAAUUGCAUUCGAUACUGUCAGGCUAGAGUGUGGUAGAGGGAAGUGGAAUUUCCGGUGUAGCGGUGAAAUGCGUAGAUAUCGGAAAGAACAUCAGUGGCGAAGGCGGCUUCCUGGAUCAACACUGACGCUGAGGUGCGAAAGCGUGGGGAGCAAACAGGAUUAGAUACCCCAGUAGUCC
RNAcentral lists this ribosomal RNA (274 nucleotides) under uncultured bacterium. RNAcentral's name for it is "partial 16S ribosomal RNA". It matches the Rfam family "Bacterial small subunit ribosomal RNA", at positions 523 to 796 of the family's 1533-position model. The record is from RNAcentral.